GAUCAUGGCUCAGAUUGAACGCUGGCGGCAUGCCUUACACAUGCAAGUCGAACGGCAGCGGGGCCUUCGGGGUGCCGGCGAGUGGCGAACGGGUGAGUAAUGCAUCGGAACGUGCCAUUGAGUGGGGGAUAACGUAGCGAAAGUUACGCUAAUACCGCAUAUUCUGUGAGCAGGAAAGCAGGGGACCGCAAGGCCUUGCGCUCUUUGAGCGGCCGAUGUCAGAUUAGCUAGUUGGUGAGGUAAAGGCUUACCAAGGCGACGAUCUGUAGCGGGUCUGAGAGGAUGAUCCGCCACACUGGAACUGAGACACGGUCCAGACUCCUACGGGAGGCAGCAGUGGGGAAUUUUGGACAAUGGGCGCAAGCCUGAUCCAGCCAUGCCGCGUGAGUGAAGAAGGCCUUCGGGUUGUAAAGCUCUUUCGGCCGGGAAGAAAUCGCAUGGGUUAAUACCCUGUGUGGAUGACGGUACCGGAAUAAGAAGCACCGGCUAACUACGUG
This 497-nucleotide ribosomal RNA is filed under the name uncultured bacterium. Its description in RNAcentral is "bacterial SSU rRNA". It matches the Rfam family "Bacterial small subunit ribosomal RNA", at positions 15 to 507 of the family's 1533-position model. The record is from RNAcentral.